GGCAGGUUGCCCGAGCGGCCAAAGGGAGCUGACUGUAAAUCAGCCGGCAUUGCCUACAUAGGUUCGAAUCCUAUACCUGCCA
Molecule: transfer RNA, 82 nt
Filed under: Aeromicrobium sp.
Lineage: Bacteria; Bacillati; Actinomycetota; Actinomycetes; Propionibacteriales; Nocardioidaceae
Also listed under: 1 other name
Description: tRNA-Tyr
Rfam family: tRNA
About the family: Transfer RNA (tRNA) molecules are approximately 80 nucleotides in length. Their secondary structure includes four short double-helical elements and three loops (D, anti-codon, and T loops).
Source: RNAcentral